CAGUCGCCGCGGUAAUACGAAGGGUGCAAGCGUUAAUCGGAAUUACUGGGCGUAAAGCGUGCGUAGGCGGUUUGUUAAGUCUGCUGUGAAAUCCCCGGGCUCAACCUGGGAAUGGCAGUGGAUGCUGGCAAGCUAGAGUGUGUCAGAGGAUGGUGGAAUUCCCGGUGUAGCGGUGAAAUGCGUAGAGAUCGGGAGGAACAUCAGUGGCGAAGGCGGCCAUCUGGGACAACACUGACGCUGAAGCACGAAAGCGUGGGGAGCAAACAGGAUUAGAUACCCCUGUAGUCCCUGUCUCUUAUAC
This 301-nucleotide ribosomal RNA is filed under the name uncultured bacterium. RNAcentral describes it as "partial 16S ribosomal RNA". It matches the Rfam family "Bacterial small subunit ribosomal RNA", at positions 509 to 807 of the family's 1533-position model. The record is from RNAcentral.